GAUGAACGCUGGCGGCGUGCCUAAUACAUGCAAGUCGAGCGAAUGGAUUAAGAGCUUGCUCUUAUGAAGUUAGCGGCGGACGGGUGAGUAACACGUGGGUAACCUGCCCAUAAGACUAGGAUAACUCCGGGAAACCGGGGCUAAUACCGGAUAACAUUUUGAACCGCGUGGUUCGAAAUUGAAAGGCGGCUUCUGCUGUCACUUAUGGAUGGACCCGCGUCGCAUUAGCUAGUUGGUGAGGUAACGGCUCACCAAGGCAACGAUGCGUAGCCGACCUGAGAGGGUGAUCGGCCACACUGGGACCGAGACACGGCCCAGACUCCUACGGGAGGCAGCAGUAGGGAAUCUUCCGCAAUGGACGAAAGUCUGACGGAGCAACGCCGCGUGAGUGAUGAAGGCUUUCGGGUCGUAAAACUCUGUUGUUAGGGAAGAACAAGUGCUAGUUGAAUAAGCUGGCACCUUGACGGUACCUAACCAGAAAGCCACGGCUAACUACGUGCCAGCCGCCGCGGUAA
This 515-nucleotide ribosomal RNA is filed under the name uncultured bacterium. RNAcentral describes it as "partial 16S ribosomal RNA". It matches the Rfam family "Bacterial small subunit ribosomal RNA", at positions 28 to 523 of the family's 1533-position model. The record is from RNAcentral.